RNAcentral lists this unclassified non-coding RNA (203 nucleotides) under Hevea brasiliensis (rubber tree). Lineage: Eukaryota; Viridiplantae; Streptophyta; Magnoliopsida; Malpighiales; Euphorbiaceae. The record is from RNAcentral.
CAGCAGUUUCCAAGUUGUGGCUGCCAAGAUAUGGAAGGUAAGGAGCAUUGCAGUGAAAAUGCAGGAAGAGAUAAUCAGCACCAUGUUAUUUCCAGUGGAUGCUCGAAGAAUUGUGGUGCCACCAGCCCCGAUUGGAUUUGCUGGAAAUGCAUUGGUUCCUGGAUUUGCACGAUUAAAAGUGAAGGAAUUGAAGGAUAGAGAAG